Molecule: long non-coding RNA, 1964 nt
Filed under: Nicotiana benthamiana
Lineage: Eukaryota; Viridiplantae; Streptophyta; Magnoliopsida; Solanales; Solanaceae
Description: long non-coding RNA (NBEN_LNC008061)
Source: RNAcentral
UUACCCCCAAAUGCUCUCUAGCCCCUUCUGAACCCUAGCAUGCUCCAGCUCUGUUUCACCGGCGAUUAUGGCUUCCCAAGCCUUAUCCACCACUCCUUACCUCCUAUGGCUCUUGGGUUCGAAGAUCGGAACCCUAUCUCGAAGGCUAUCAACCUAGAGGUCCUUCGACGUGAGUUUGUAGCCGUGUUCGGCCUUUUCCUGGCAAGCCUUGAGGCUGUGAGUCCUUCGUCGACUCCAAACCAGUCCGUUCCAGGCUUUCUCAUUCCUCCAUGGUUCUUUCUCUGAAACCCUAAUUUUUGAUAUUUUUUAUGUGUUUAUCUUUACGAUCUUCUUUAGAUCCCAGUUAUCUUCUAAAGUUUCAAAGUAUUUCUCACAUUUUCUUCGCCAAUUUUGUUGCAAACUGUUCGUCUUCUUAAAAUCUAGGGUUUCUCUGAUUUCUUUGAUUUUUUUUAUUGCUUUGCCUUAUCUGAUCUACUGUAUUUUCUUCUAGCUCUUACUGUGAUUUCUGAGUGCUUUCUACUAUGGCUCCUAGGUAUUUUACUUUACUGUGUUGUUUCUAGGGUUUCCGAGUUAAUAUGUUUACUGGUUCUCUGUUCUUUAUUAUGUUGUUCUUCCUGGGUUCAUCUUCAUCUAUGUUCUUCUCUACACUCUUAUGUGUACUAAUUCUCUGUUCUUCAUUAUGUUGUUCUUCCUGGGUUCAUCUUCAUCUAUGUUCAUCUCUACUCUCUAUAUGAGACAAAAUCCCUAAGUGCUAAGGAUUUUCCGCUCUCUCUAUGUACUUACUCGCUUCAUGUUCAAACCCUAGACUCCUCUAAUAUUUACUUUUGUGCUUCUGCCACAUGAUCUGUUCUAUAAUUCCAGUUAUGCAUGUUCAAAUCUAUGCAUCUUUAUAUAGUCACAUAUAUCCUUCUGAACAACCCUUAUUCUGGAGAAAAUUGAUUUCUUACAGCUUGUUUGAUUCUUUAAUUUGGACCUGCUCUUCGACUAAGUUCAAAAUCAAUCAGUAUCUCAAUUCCCUGAUUCUCUAGGUGAUUAACUUGCCUUAUGUGUUAAACGUGUGAAUUUCAAACCCCUUUUAUACGAACUUGUCCUGUAUUUUGUGACUUAUACUUGAUUUUCUUUCCAAAAAUAAACUGAGGUUUAUUUACCUCAAGACGGUUCCUUAAUUAGAGGAAACCCUUUCCCUAAUUGAUUGUAAUUGAUACUGAGAUUAUUUUCUUGCCUUAGUGCUUCUUAUUUUCAAACUAUAAAUAUUCUCCACCUCUUCUCACUUUACACACAGAGAUACAUGAGCUAUCCUAAGUUUACUCACUGAAAAACUCUCUCUUCUCUUCUGUUCUUCUCUGUUACUUGUUCUAUUGCUAGAUUUUUGCCGGCUGAAAGCCAAGGAUAAAUUAUAAGGUCUCGUAUGCUUUACUACUCAAAUUUGCAACUGGUAGGUUCUUAAUUUACAUUAUUAAUUCCCAAACUACCUGUUUACUUAAUCCCUUUUCCCUAUCUGUUUAUGACUAAGGUUCAGCAUGCACACCCCUUCCCCCCAUGUCUAUUUGCGUUCAGUAUGUAGUUGAUUUCAACAAUGCACAUCCCUACCCCAUAUCCCCCAUACUUCUGAUACUGUAUACUUUUGUGAGUGCAUUCUUGUACAUCCCUUUCCCAAAACCUUUUAGUUAAUUCUGUUUAUUACAAGUGCCCUUAUGUGACCCCCAUUCCCUUAACCCCUGUUUGUAUAUGAGUGUAUUUUGGACUAGGAUGGCACCUCAUUGCCACUCCUAGUUUAUAUCCAAGGUUGCAUUCAUCCUAUACUCAAAGUAAUCCCAUCCCCUCAAUCCCCCUAUUAUGUGUUUGAGCUUGACACAGGCCUAUUGGUGUCCUAAUCACCAUACAGGCCCUAGUCUGACUUGCUUUCAGGUCUACUCCUAUAUGUAAACCAUGCAAAGGUCAGGGGUGUGCCAAUCUCAUUCAUG